RNAcentral lists this ribosomal RNA (508 nucleotides) under uncultured bacterium. RNAcentral's name for it is "partial 16S ribosomal RNA". It matches the Rfam family "Bacterial small subunit ribosomal RNA", at positions 28 to 523 of the family's 1533-position model. The record is from RNAcentral.
GAUGAACGCUAGCUACAGGCUUAACACAUGCAAGUCGAGGGGAAACGAUAGAGAAAGCUUGCUUUUUCUAGGCGUCGACCGGCGCACGGGUGAGUAACGCGUAUCCAACCUGCCCACCACUUGGGGAUAACCUUGCGAAAGUAAGACUAAUACCCAAUGAUAUCUCAAGAAGACAUCUGAAUGAGAUUAAAGAUUUAUCGGUGAUGGAUGGGGAUGCGUCUGAUUAGCUUGUUGGCGGGGUAACGGCCCACCAAGGCGACGAUCAGUAGGGGUUCGGAGAGGAAGGUCCCCCACAUUGGGACUGGGACACAGCCCAAACUCCUACGGGAGGCAGCAGUGAGGAAUAUUGGUCAAUGGGCGAGAGCCUGAACCAGCCAAGUAGCGUGCAGGAUGACGGCCCUAUGGGUUGUAAACUGCUUUUAUAAGGGAAUAAAGUGAGUCUCGUGAGACUUUUUGCAUGUACCUUAUGAAUAAGGACCGGCUAAUUCCGUGCCAGCAGCCGCCGUAA